UACGGAGGGUGCAAGCGUUAUCCGGAUUCACUGGGUUUAAAGGGUGCGUAGGCGGCUUGAUAAGUCAGUGGUGAAAGCCGAUCGCUUAACGAUCGAACUGCCAUUGAUACUGUCGGGCUUGAGUAUAGAUGAGGUAGGCGGAAUUGACAGUGUAGCGGUGAAAUGCAUAGAUAUUGUCAAGAACACCAAUUGCGAAGGCAGCUUACUAAGUUAUAACUGACGCUGAGGCACGAAAGUGCGGGGAUCAAACAGG
Molecule: ribosomal RNA, 253 nt
Filed under: uncultured prokaryote
Description: partial 16S ribosomal RNA
Rfam family: Bacterial small subunit ribosomal RNA
Source: RNAcentral